AAAUUUUUUAGUUUACUAACCAAACUAAUAUAAUUACAUAUUUAAUAUAAUUCUUUUUCAGAGGACUUCACACAGAAAUCAAGCUCAGGCAAUCAACCAAUUGACCCUAAAAAAGGAAUAUUCGAGAGAUUUGAUUGGAAAUGGCCUAAAAAGUCAGAAGCCGUCCAGUUUUCGGUCUAGAGAGGGUGUUUGGACUGAAGUACUCUCCAUAGACAAAGAACACAUCAUGUCAUCAGAUUCAGAAGAUGAGCUCAGUGCAGAAUACAGGAGGAAGUUAAGAUUGAAACAACGCUUAGGUAUGGAUUUUUACAUAUUAUAAACUGUAAUUAAAAAAUUAUUCCUCUUCCAU
RNAcentral lists this long non-coding RNA (349 nucleotides) under Sinocyclocheilus grahami. RNAcentral describes it as "lncRNA (ENSSGRG00000047330.1)". Lineage: Eukaryota; Metazoa; Chordata; Actinopteri; Cypriniformes; Cyprinidae. The record is from RNAcentral.